This 429-nucleotide ribosomal RNA is filed under the name Gemmatimonadota bacterium. RNAcentral's name for it is "Gemmatimonadetes bacterium partial 16S ribosomal RNA". It matches the Rfam family "Bacterial small subunit ribosomal RNA", at positions 355 to 776 of the family's 1533-position model. Lineage: Bacteria; Pseudomonadati; Gemmatimonadota. The record is from RNAcentral.
UAGGGAAUCUUCGGCAAUGGACGAAAGUCUGACCGAGCAACGCCGCGUGAGUGAAGAAGGUUUUCGGAUCGUAAAACUCUGUUGUUAGAGAAGAACAAGGACGUUAGUAACUGAACGUCCCCUGACGGUAUCUAACCAGAAAGCCACGGCUAACUACGUGCCAGCAGCCGCGGUAAUACGUAGGUGGCAAGCGUUGUCCGGAUUUAUUGGGCGUAAAGCGAGCGCAGGCGGUUUCUUAAGUCUGAUGUGAAAGCCCCCGGCUCAACCGGGGAGGGUCAUUGGAAACUGGGAGACUUGAGUGCAGAAGAAGAGAGUGGAAUUCCAUGUGUAGCGGUGAAAUGCGUAGAUAUAUGGAGGGACACCAGUGGCGAAGGCGGCUCUCUGGUCUGUAACUGACGCUGAGGCUCGAAAGCGUGGGGAGCAAACAGG